UACGAAGGGGGCUAGCGUUGUUCGGAAUUACUGGGCGUAAAGCGCACGUAGGUGGUUUGUUAAAUUAGAAGUGAAAGCCCUGGGCUCAACCCGGGAAUUGCUUUUGAGACAGGCAAGCUUGAAUCCAGAAGAGGGUAGUGGAAUUCCCAGUGUAGAGGUGAAAUUCGUAGAUAUUGGGAAGAACACCGGUGGCGAAGGCGGCUACCUGGUCUGGUAUUGACACUGAUGUGCGAAAGCGUGGGGAGCAAACAGG
Molecule: ribosomal RNA, 253 nt
Filed under: uncultured bacterium
Lineage: Bacteria
Description: partial 16S ribosomal RNA
Rfam family: Bacterial small subunit ribosomal RNA
Source: RNAcentral